CCUACCGAUUGAAUGACUCGGUGAAAAAUUGGGACUGUGAACUCGUUUGCUUUAUUGCGAAUGAGUUUGUGGGAACUUUUUUUAACCUCGCCAUUUAGAGGAAGGUGAAGUCGUAACAAGGUU
This 123-nucleotide ribosomal RNA is filed under the name Lagenidium deciduum. RNAcentral describes it as "partial small subunit ribosomal RNA". It matches the Rfam family "Eukaryotic small subunit ribosomal RNA", at positions 1681 to 1801 of the family's 1831-position model. Lineage: Eukaryota; Oomycota; Peronosporomycetes; Pythiales; Pythiaceae. The record is from RNAcentral.